Lathyrus oleraceus (garden pea) is the source of this 74-nucleotide non-coding RNA. The record is from the annotation of a RefSeq genome assembly. Lineage: Eukaryota; Viridiplantae; Streptophyta; Magnoliopsida; Fabales; Fabaceae.
GGCCCAUUAGCUCAGUUGGUUAGAGCGUCGUGUUAAUAACGCGAAUGUCCCAGGUUUGAGACCUGGAUGGGCCA